Molecule: long non-coding RNA, 1630 nt
Filed under: Cricetulus griseus (Chinese hamster)
Lineage: Eukaryota; Metazoa; Chordata; Mammalia; Rodentia; Cricetidae
Description: lncRNA (ENSCGRG00015043402.1)
Source: RNAcentral
CUGUCUGCCAUGGCGGGUGGGUGAAAGACCCGAGCUAACAUGGGGUUAGUUCGUUAAAUUACAAUAAAGCCUCGUGCAGUUUGCAGCAAGCUCUCGAAUCCGCCUGGUGAUUGGGGUGACCGCGAACCUGGCCUGAGACCCCGGAUACUUGAGUUUUCGGGGGUCUAACAUUUUGGGGGCUCGUCCGGGAUUUGCGACCACCCCUCACCUGAGUGGAGUCGAUCUUGGAGUUUAUAAUGUCAGACAGACCGCCAGAUCCGGACAGUGACCCAAAGUCUCCAAAGAAGAUUACGAGGCACCUCAGUUCCUGCACCUGGACCAGUGAGCAAGAUGCUCAGAUGUGAUACCUGCCGCCUGCCAGAACCUAGCCGAGACUGUGGACAAAGCUGCUGGACACUGGAAAAUUGAUUGCACCCCUUUGCCUAGACAAAACAAGGUCAGUCUUUUCCAUGUCCCUCUUCCACAGAGAGAAAAAAACUCUCACAGUAUAGGCCUGGCGAAGAUUGCUGGUCUUUGAGACACCUGCCUCCAGCGGUAAUGGAGAAACUUGGGUUUGGCUAACUGUAUAUAGACUGGCUUCUGUCACUUUUUAGUAGAUUCGGAUAAAAUAUACCCUUCUCAGAUCUCUGAAAUAUUACUGGUUGUCAGCUUGACAGCAUCAGGCAGUCAGAUCCACUAUAGACUAGUCAGUAUGUUAGCUGAUAAAAUAGUAACUAUCUACUGUUCAGGCACAAGCUCAAGGUUUUUAAGUUUAUUUUGGUUGUCAUCUAAGUACAAACUUAAAGGGCUUUUCAUCAGGCCAAAGGCACCUCUGUCCAAUCCAUACCUGGCUCUCUGGACAGAAGAGAAAUGUACAUGCUUAUAGCCCAAAUCUGUAGUUUUUGCUAGGACUCAAAGUUAUAAAUAUGUUCUUGCUGUUUAAACAGAUAUCUGCUUUUUCUACACUGUGGGCUUCAGUAAAUAAGUUUUAACCUCUGUUCCUAGUUUAAACAUGUCUUAAACAGGUUUCUGCUUCUGGCAGACAUCUGAAUAUCAGUUGCUGACUACAGACUGUUCUAAGACUGCGAGCCCUGGACUUGCUGUGGAUGUGAACCAGUUCAGCUGAUAUGGACACCCCCUGUCUCUGCAACAGUGUCUGCUAACCAGAAGCCCCUGAUGAAUUCCCCAUUGCCUAAAUUCCUUUUUGCUUUUGACUAGCAUUUCAACCUUCUGGGGUCCCUAACUUCGUCCCAAAGUCAGCAGGAAGCAGUUUGGAAAAGAAUUUCGCCGUCCAUUUUCCCUGGUUAAAAUGCUAAGUCAAAGGGAACUCCCUUGCAUGGGGAUGCCAGUAUCUAUCACUCCCUGAUGGGGAUGCUAGAGAGACAGCAAUUCCAUGAUUGGAAUUUACAAAAAAGAAAAUGGGGGAAUGAAGGAACCGGCUUCCCUUUUGGCAGCCAUAAUGGUCGAACAUGUGCUUCUAUGACCUUGUCCUAGAAACCAGAAAGUCAGAUGCCUGUCUUGUGACAAGGAACCAAUCAGAAGUUAGCUGGUGGUGCUAUGCUUUAUGGCUCUGGGUGUGCUUUACGGACAAGCGCACAGCAAUGACGUAGAGAGCAUAGCAACCACCCUGGGAGGGCCUAUGAGCCAUAAC